AUUGAACGCUGGCGGCAUGCCUUACACAUGCAAGUCGAACGGCAGCAUGAUCUAGCUUGCUAGAUUGAUGGCGAGUGGCGAACGGGUGAGUAAUACAUCGGAGCGUGCCCUGUAGUGGGGGAUAACUAGUCGAAAGAUUAGCUAAUACCGCAUACGACCUGAGGGUGAAAGUGGGGGACCGCAAGGCCUCAUGCUAUAGGAGCGGCCGAUGUCUGAUUAGCUAGUUGGUGAGGUAAAGGCUCACCAAGGCGACGAUCAGUAGCUGGUCUGAGAGGACGAUCAGCCACACUGGGACUGAGACACGGCCCAGACUCCUACGGGAGGCAGCAGUGGGGAAUUUUGGACAAUGGGCGAAAGCCUGAUCCAGCAAUGCCGCGUGUGUGAAGAAGGCCUUCGGGUUGUAAAGCACUUUUGUCCGGAAAGAAAUGGCUCUGGUUAAUACCUGGGGUCGAUGACGGUACCGGAAGAAUAAGGACCGGCUAACUACGU
RNAcentral lists this ribosomal RNA (489 nucleotides) under uncultured bacterium. RNAcentral's name for it is "partial 16S ribosomal RNA". It matches the Rfam family "Bacterial small subunit ribosomal RNA", at positions 30 to 506 of the family's 1533-position model. The record is from RNAcentral.